GCUCAUUUGUUGUCAACAAUCUUUUUAAUGUCAUAUUCUAUAAGAAAAAAAAAAACUUCAAAUAUUAUUGUAGUAUCCUUGGAGUUCAACAUUUGAGACUUGUUGACAUCUCUGAAGAGUAUCAGGAUAAGUUCGAGUCAUGUUGGCGUGAAAUAGAUGUCAACUGGACUCAGGGGGAUGUGAGAGCAGGAAGUUAGCAUUAAAAUCUACAAACCGCAGGAUUUCAGCAUUUAGUACCGGUACCACACAGGGGCGUACCGAUACCAUGUAUAUAUUUUUUUGCACAGACUGCUCUCG
This 297-nucleotide long non-coding RNA is filed under the name Ananas comosus (pineapple). RNAcentral describes it as "long non-coding RNA (ACOM_LNC007530)". Lineage: Eukaryota; Viridiplantae; Streptophyta; Magnoliopsida; Poales; Bromeliaceae. The record is from RNAcentral.